AUGAGUCAACCUGAUGGGAUCAACAUCCCUGACGGAAAGUUCUACCUUGGAGAUGCUGGCUAUGCAUGUCGGCCGGGUAUUCUUCCACCCUUCAGGAAAACCAGGUACCAUCUCAAUGAGUUCUCUGGUAGGAACUAUCCUAGGACUGCACAUGAGCUAUUUAAUCUCAGACACUCCAGCCUUAGAGUAACUGUUGAGAGGGCAUUUGGAGCUCUGAGGAAUAGGUUUAAGAUCCUGGAUCAGAAGCCAUUCCAUCCAUACUCCACUCAGGUUAAGCUUGUUCUUGCUUGUUGCAUCCUGCAUAACUGGAUCCUCCAGUGGGGCUUUGAUGGACACGUGUGA
RNAcentral lists this ribosomal RNA (342 nucleotides) under Triticum aestivum (bread wheat). RNAcentral describes it as "partial small subunit ribosomal RNA". Lineage: Eukaryota; Viridiplantae; Streptophyta; Magnoliopsida; Poales; Poaceae. The record is from RNAcentral.